GCUGCCACCUUGAUAGUGUGAUGUCCAUCUCUUCUGGCUCUAAUAGGACAAAUCUGCAGACUCCUGUGAGAUUGAACCCUGGCAGGUGUACAGAAAACCUUUGGAUGCUACAGAAUGCCCUGGGCCCAGGCAGGGGAAUCAGCCUUCAACCUGGCCCCACAACACCUUCCCUGGAAGGAACUGAGCCUGAGACUACACCCCCUCUUCACCCUGCUCUAUGCACCUAUUAUGAUUAUUGAAAUAAAUGUCAUGAAAAUGA
Molecule: long non-coding RNA, 259 nt
Organism: Esox lucius (northern pike)
Lineage: Eukaryota; Metazoa; Chordata; Actinopteri; Esociformes; Esocidae
Exons: 2
Source: RefSeq, a predicted model, not a curated record